This 907-nucleotide long non-coding RNA is filed under the name Brassica rapa (field mustard). RNAcentral describes it as "long non-coding RNA (BRAP_LNC004023)". Lineage: Eukaryota; Viridiplantae; Streptophyta; Magnoliopsida; Brassicales; Brassicaceae. The record is from RNAcentral.
ACAGGACCAAUAGAACUGAGAGAUGGUUAUGUAAUGAAAAUGUAGGAUCCAAAGAUGAGUAAAUGUGUAUUGUUCACAGGACCAACGGAUUAGGAGUUUGAGGUGGGCAGAGUAAUACGCAGAGUAUCCCAUGUGAUCUCCACAUGUCGUCUCUCUUUCUCAACUUCCAUCCUUAUUAACUAUUUUUUUUAUUUUUUUAUUUAUUUAUUUAUUUGGUGUAUGCCAAUUAAAUUCAUUUUUCUUCUUUCAUUAUGUCUUGGUUGACAUUUCUAUACAGUCUAUAUAACAUAUCAUAGUUUUCACUUUUCAUUUUUUUUGAUAAAGAACACUCUGGAAAUAUAUCAACAACUACAUUAAAACUUAACGCAGAGCAGUUACACAUCACACAAGCACCAAAUAAGAUCUUUCGGUUAUCUUUUUUUUUUUCCCGUCAAGUUUUUUUUUUUUUGAAUUAAUAAAAGGAUGGGCCGCGCCCACCGGGUCAAAACCCGAUUACAACAUAACAGAACAAAAGGCCCACAAACACAACUGGGCUGAACACAAUCUAAGCAUAAGCCCAAUUCAAACGAAAUCGGCCCACCGGCCUAACCCUAAUCCCUCCUCCCGAUUCCGACCUGUGCGCCGACAGGGAGCGUAGAAGCAAAAUACGUGGACGAAUCUACAACGUUGUCACUGCACGCGCUGCUUCAUCUCGACCUAUCCUUCACAGCAUCGGAGAGUCGCCGGAGGAGAAUAUCGGCACCGCGAUACGGCGGAGCUCAUUCCUUGCGGAGCUUCCGACAUCUCUUAACCCCAUUUCAUCGCUCUAUCUAUGUGUCGGAGAUCCAAAUCUUCCCCAACACGCCCAAGCUUCACGAAACACUGACUAAUCUUCUCCGCAAUGUCUUCACGCCAGAGAAUUUCACCG